AAACGGAGGCCUUCAGCCAACAGCUGGGAGAAGCUGAGUCCCAUCAGCCAUUCAAAAGACUGCAGCCCCAGCCAAGAGUUUGAUGUAACCUCAGGAGAGACCCUGAGCCAGAACCACCUAGAAAAGCUGGGAUACAUGAAGACUGCCAUCCCUUGAGUCACUUGCCCUGUAGCUGCCACUGUUGGAAAAGGGCUUGCUUCUGUGUCCUUGUGCCCACUUUGAAAAUCCCUGGGAAGUCCUUGGAGUCAGAUGAGCAGGCCUCCGCCACUCUGCCAAAAAGUCUGUUCAGAAGUUUCACAUCACUAGAGAAGAGAGAAGAAGGACAUUUGUACUGGGAGGAGUCGACCGGUCCCAGUAAGGAGAAAGUAGCUACAGCGUCAUGGGUGAGCUGGGUCCCCCAAAAAGGAACUUUAAGGGAAUGGACUGAAUCAAGUCUGAGAUGUCCCCAAAGCAAGACCAAAGAACUGAGGAAGAGAAGCAUUCAUCAGAAACCAAAAUUCAGCUACAAGUGAGCAUCCAGAUGGAGGUAUUAUGAAGAGGAACUGAGACUGAGGGCAAAAGGUGCCAGCCAGAAUCCUGGAUAGGAGAGCAAGAACCAGGACCUCAUUUAAGAGACAACCUGCUUAAGGCAGAGUAAGCACAAAUGGGCACUCAACAUCAAUGAAGUAACAGCAAAGUCACAUAAUAAAAGCAUGGAAUUAAGACAAGCUGAAGAUUCGGAUGCAAUAAAACAACCACCCAUUAUUA
Molecule: long non-coding RNA, 747 nt
Filed under: Homo sapiens (human)
Lineage: Eukaryota; Metazoa; Chordata; Mammalia; Primates; Hominidae
Description: non-protein coding lnc-DRD5-10:13
Source: RNAcentral